RNAcentral lists this ribosomal RNA (497 nucleotides) under uncultured bacterium. Its description in RNAcentral is "partial 16S ribosomal RNA". It matches the Rfam family "Bacterial small subunit ribosomal RNA", at positions 28 to 507 of the family's 1533-position model. The record is from RNAcentral.
GAUGAACGCUGGCGGCGUGCCUAAUACAUGCAAGUCGAGCGAACAGACGAGGAACUUGCUCCUCUGACGUUAGCGGCGGACGGGUGAGUAACACGUGGAUAACCUACAUAUAAGCCUGAGAUAACUUCGGGAAACCGGAGCUAAUACCGGAUAAUAUAUUGAACCGCAUGGUUCAAUAGUGAAAGACGGUUUUGCUGUCACUUAUAGAUGGAUCCGCGCCGCAUUAGCUAGUUGGUAAGGUAACGGCUUACCAAGGCAACGAUGCGUAGCCGAGCUGAGAGGGUGGUCGGCCACACUGGAACUGAGACACGGUCCAGACUCCUACGGGAGGCAGCAGUAGGGAAUCUUCCGCAAUGGGCGAAAGCCUGACGGAGCAACGCCGCGUGAGUGAUGAAGGUCUUCGGAUCGUAAAACUCUGUUAUUAGGGAAGAACAAAUGUGUAAGUAACUAUGCACGUCUUGACGGUACCUAAUCAGAAAGCCACGGCUAACUACGUG